GGAGAAGUGUCCGAGUGGUUUAAGGUGACGACCUCGAAAGUCGUUGUGGGGGAGACUCCACCAAGGGUUCGAAUCCCUUCUUCUCCG
Molecule: transfer RNA, 87 nt
Filed under: bacterium
Lineage: Bacteria
Description: tRNA-Ser
Rfam family: tRNA
About the family: Transfer RNA (tRNA) molecules are approximately 80 nucleotides in length. Their secondary structure includes four short double-helical elements and three loops (D, anti-codon, and T loops).
Source: RNAcentral